UUCGCAAUGCCCGAAAGGGUGACGAAGCGACGCCGCGUGAGCGAAGAAGGCCUUAGGGUUGUAAAGCUCUGUCGAGGGUUAUGAAAUGUAAACAGGUUAAUACCCUGUUUGUUUGACAAAAGCCCAAGAGGAAGUCACGGCUAACUCUGUGCCAGCAGCCGCGGUAAUACAGAGGUGGCAAGCGUUGUUCGGUAUUAUUGGGCGUAAAGAGCACGUAGGUGGUUUUAUAAGUCAGGUGUGAAAGCCUUCUGUUCAAAGGAAGAACGGCAUCUGAAACUGUAGAUCUCGAGUGUAGGAGGGGAGAGUGGAACUUCUGGUGGAGCGGUGAAAUGCGUAGAUAUCAGAAGGAACGUCGGCGGCGAAAGCGACUCUCUGGCCUAUUACUGACACUGAGGUGCGAAAGUUAGGGGAGCAAACGGGAUUAGAUACCCCGGUAGUCCUAACCGUAAACGAUGGGCACUAAGUAGAGGGGUUUU
RNAcentral lists this ribosomal RNA (476 nucleotides) under Candidatus Scalindua wagneri. RNAcentral describes it as "bacterial SSU rRNA". It matches the Rfam family "Bacterial small subunit ribosomal RNA", at positions 365 to 832 of the family's 1533-position model. The record is from RNAcentral. Lineage: Bacteria; Pseudomonadati; Planctomycetota; Candidatus Brocadiia; Candidatus Brocadiales; Candidatus Scalinduaceae.